This 255-nucleotide ribosomal RNA is filed under the name uncultured bacterium. RNAcentral's name for it is "partial 16S ribosomal RNA". It matches the Rfam family "Bacterial small subunit ribosomal RNA", at positions 524 to 779 of the family's 1533-position model. The record is from RNAcentral.
UACGAAGGGGCUAGCGUUGUUCGGAAUCACUGGGCGUAAAGCGCACGCAGGCGGAUUGAUAAGUCGGGGGUGAAAUCCCGGGGCUCAACCUCGGAAUUGCCUUCGAUACUGUUAGUCUUGAGUCCGGGAGAGGUGAGUGGAAUUCCUAGUGUAGAGGUGAAAUUCGUAGAUAUUAGGAAGAACACCAGUGGCGAAGGCGGCUCACUGGCCCGGUACUGACGCUGAGGCGCGAAAGCGUGGGGAGCAAACAGGGAU